Molecule: ribosomal RNA, 430 nt
Filed under: uncultured bacterium
Lineage: Bacteria
Description: bacterial SSU rRNA
Rfam family: Bacterial small subunit ribosomal RNA
Source: RNAcentral
UAGGGAAUCUUCCGCAAUGGACGAAAGUCUGACGGAGCAACGCCGCGUGAGUGAAGAAGGUUUUCGGAUCGUAAAACUCUGUUGUUGGAGAAGAACAAGUAGGAGAGUAACUGCUCUUACCUUGACGGUACCCAACCAGAAAGCCACGGCUAACUACGUGCCAGCAGCCGCGGUAAUACGUAGGUGGCAAGCGUUGUCCGGAUUUAUUGGGCGUAAAGCGAGCGCAGGCGGUUCCUUAAGUCUGAUGUGAAAGCCCACGGCUCAACCGUGGAAGGUCAUUGGAAACUGGGGAACUUGAAUGCAGAAGAGGAGAGUGGAAUUCCAUGUGUAGCGGUGAAAUGCGUAGAUAUAUGGAGGAACACCAGUGGCGAAGGCGACUCUCUGGUCUGUAAUUGACGCUGAGGCUCGAAAGCGUGGGGAGCAAACAGGA